This 24-nucleotide microRNA is filed under the name Sorghum bicolor (sorghum). RNAcentral describes it as "sbi-miR6225-3p". The record is from miRBase by way of RNAcentral. Lineage: Eukaryota; Viridiplantae; Streptophyta; Magnoliopsida; Poales; Poaceae.
GAAACGAAUCUUUUAAGUCUAAUU